RNAcentral lists this long non-coding RNA (707 nucleotides) under Ornithorhynchus anatinus (platypus). Its description in RNAcentral is "lncRNA (ENSOANG00000035015.2)". Lineage: Eukaryota; Metazoa; Chordata; Mammalia; Monotremata; Ornithorhynchidae. The record is from RNAcentral.
UUCCCUCUCUCCAAUUUAUCCUCUCUUUUCCCUCCUCAGGUUACCUCCCUGGCCCCAGAUGGCCAUGUCAGCGGCCUAAGUGGCCAUCUGCAGGAGAAGAGGAAGCAGACCCUGGGGCACGAGGCCUGGGAGAUGAAGCUGGGGACUAGUUCCCCUUUUGCUCUGGGCAGCCCUGAAGGCGAUCAAGCAUCCCUACCGGAACGUCGGGCUACUGCUGGAGCGACGGUUCUGCAGGGAGCCGGCCGUCAUCCCCACGCUGCCCUCGGGAGAGCCCAUCUUCUCACCGCGGCACCACCCGCUGCCCUGCUCCCCGGACUGCUCCAGCUUGCAGCCCCACAGCCAUCUGGAGAGGCUCUUUUUCAGCUGUUAGUGUGGCCCCCAGACACUUCAAUGCGAUCAGUUCAAACCUCGUGGGACCUCAGCACCAACAGCCUCUUCCAGCAAACAGCUCCGCAGCCAACUCAGCCUGGUGAUUAUUGCCUGACUGCUGGGGCAGACGGAGGUCCUACCGCUCUGGAAGGAAAAUGCCCAGCUGUCCCUGCUCUGCCACCUCCUAGAGCUGAUGAAGCCCUCCUUGCUUGGGCAGCAUGUAGUUGCCAGCUGUGCAUCUUGGAGAAGCCCAAGGUCACAGCCAGAAGUCAGGGGCACCCUGGACCAAGAGGUAAGGACCCGACACCCUCCGCAUCUCCCAUUCCCUCAACGGACAG